This 468-nucleotide ribosomal RNA is filed under the name uncultured bacterium. Its description in RNAcentral is "partial 16S ribosomal RNA". It matches the Rfam family "Bacterial small subunit ribosomal RNA", at positions 28 to 507 of the family's 1533-position model. The record is from RNAcentral.
GACGAACGCUGGCGGCGUGCUUAACACAUGCAAGUCGAACUGAAAGGCCCUGCUUUUGUGGGGUGCUCGAGUGGCGAACGGGUGAGUAACACGUGAGUAACCUGCCCUUGACUUUGGGAUAACUUCAUGAAACUGGGGCUAAUACCGGAUAGGAGCUCCUGCUGCAUGGUGGGGGUUGGAAAGUUUCGGCGGUUGGGGAUGGACUCGCGGCUUAUCAGCUUGUUGGUGGGGUAGUGGCUUACCAAGGCUUUGACGGGUAGCCGGCCUGAGAGGGUGACCGGCCACAUUGGGACUGAGAAACGGCCCAGACUCCUAAGGGAAGCAGCAGUGGGGAAUAUUGCACAAUGGGCGGAAGCCGGAUGCAGCAACGCCGCGUGCGGGAUGACGGCCUUCGGGUUGUAAACCGCUUUCGCCUGUGACGAAGCGUGAGUGACGGUAAUGGGUAAAGAAGCACCGGCUAACUACGUG